UAGAUUUGAUGUUCAACUCAAAGACC
This 26-nucleotide non-coding RNA is filed under the name Mus musculus (house mouse). The record is from RNAcentral. Lineage: Eukaryota; Metazoa; Chordata; Mammalia; Rodentia; Muridae.